CCUACGUGAGGCAGCAGUAGGGAAUAUUGCUCAAUGGGGGAAACCCUGAAGCAGCAACGCCGCGUGGAGGAUGAAGGUUUUCGGAUUGUAAACUCCUUUUGUUAGAGAAGAUAAUGACGGUAUCUAACGAAUAAGCACCGGCUAACUCCGUGCCAGCAGCCGCGGUAAUACGGAGGGUGCACGCGUUACUAGGAAUCACUGGGCGUAAAGCGCGCGUAGGCGGGAUAGCAAGGCAGAUGUGAAAUCCUAUGGCGUAACCAUAGAACUGCAUUUGAAACUGUUAUUCUAGAGUAUGGGAGAGGUAGGUGGAAGUCUUGGUGUAGGGGUAAAAUCCGUAGAGAUCAAGAGGAAUACUCAUUGCGAAGGCGACCUGCUAGAACAUAACUGACGCUGAUGCGCGAAAGCGUGGGGAGCAAACAGGAGUAGAUACCCGGGUAGUC
RNAcentral lists this ribosomal RNA (440 nucleotides) under uncultured bacterium. RNAcentral's name for it is "partial 16S ribosomal RNA". It matches the Rfam family "Bacterial small subunit ribosomal RNA", at positions 338 to 795 of the family's 1533-position model. The record is from RNAcentral.